RNAcentral lists this ribosomal RNA (835 nucleotides) under Salmonella enterica subsp. enterica serovar Thompson. RNAcentral's name for it is "partial 23S ribosomal RNA". It matches the Rfam family "Bacterial large subunit ribosomal RNA", at positions 711 to 1547 of the family's 2925-position model. Lineage: Bacteria; Pseudomonadati; Pseudomonadota; Gammaproteobacteria; Enterobacterales; Enterobacteriaceae. RNAcentral also lists the same sequence under 3 other names. The record is from RNAcentral.
AGACCCGAAACCCGGUGAUCUAGCCAUGGGCAGGUUGAAGGUUGGGUAACACUAACUGGAGGACCGAACCGACUAAUGUUGAAAAAUUAGCGGAUGACCUGUGGCUGGGGGUGAAAGGCCAAUCAAACCGGGAGAUAGCUGGUUCUCCCCGAAAGCUAUUUAGGUAGCGCCUCGUGAAUUCAUCUCCGGGGGUAGAGCACUGUUUCGGCUAGGGGGCCAUCCCGGCUUACCAACCCGAUGCAAACUGCGAAUACCGGAGAAUGUUAUCACGGGAGACACACGGCGGGUGCUAACGUCCGUCGUGAAGAGGGAAACAACCCAGACCGCCAGCUAAGGUCCCAAAGUCAUGGUUAAGUGGGAAACGAUGUGGGAAGGCCCAGACAGCCAGGAUGUUGGCUUAGAAGCAGCCAUCAUUUAAAGAAAGCGUAAUAGCUCACUGGUCGAGUCGGCCUGCGCGGAAGAUGUAACGGGGCUAAACCAUGCACCGAAGCUGCGGCAGCGACACUAUGUGUUGUUGGGUAGGGGAGCGUUCUGUAAGCCUGUGAAGGUGUGUCGUGAGGCAUGCUGGAGGUAUCAGAAGUGCGAAUGCUGACAUAAGUAACGAUAAAGCGGGUGAAAAGCCCGCUCGCCGGAAGACCAAGGGUUCCUGUCCAACGUUAAUCGGGGCAGGGUGAGUCGACCCCUAAGGCGAGGCCGAAAGGCGUAGUCGAUGGGAAACGGGUUAAUAUUCCCGUACUUGGUGUUACUGCGAAGGGGGGACGGAGAAGGCUAUGUUGGCCGGGCGACGGUUGUCCCGGUUUAAGCGUGUAGGUGUGUGUUCCAGGUAAAUCCGGUU